CCAAAGGCUCUUUUCAGAGCCACCCACUAAGUCAUUAAGGAGCUA
This is a regulatory RNA element of Nestor notabilis (Kea), 45 nucleotides long. It matches the Rfam family "Histone 3' UTR stem-loop". Rfam says of the family: The mRNAs of metazoan histone genes lack a poly-A tail. The record is from Rfam. NCBI's taxonomy places the organism in Eukaryota, Metazoa, Chordata, Aves, Psittaciformes, Psittacidae.